UGAAUGCACUAACUGUAAAUCGCUCUGGAUAAGAGCGUCUGCUAAAUGACUAAAA
This is a non-coding RNA of Salmo salar (Atlantic salmon), 55 nucleotides long. The record is from Rfam. Lineage: Eukaryota; Metazoa; Chordata; Actinopteri; Salmoniformes; Salmonidae.